Molecule: ribosomal RNA, 466 nt
Filed under: uncultured Desulfomicrobium sp.
Lineage: Bacteria; Pseudomonadati; Thermodesulfobacteriota; Desulfovibrionia; Desulfovibrionales; Desulfomicrobiaceae
Description: bacterial SSU rRNA
Rfam family: Bacterial small subunit ribosomal RNA
Source: RNAcentral
CCUACGGGUGGCAGCAGUGGGGAAUAUUGCGCAAUGGGCGAAAGCCUGACGCAGCAACGCCGUGUGAGGGAUGAAGGCUUUCGGGUCGUAAACCUCUGUCAGAAGGGAAGAACGGGCAUUGGUCUAAUAGGCCUUUGUUUUGACGGUACCUUCAGAGGAAGCACCGGCUAACUCCGUGCCAGCAGCCGCGGUAAUACGGAGGGUGCAAGCGUUAUUCGGAAUUACUGGGCGUAAAGCGCACGUAGGCCGCUUUGUAAGUCAGGGGUGAAAUCCCACGGCUCAACCGUGGAACUGCCCUUGAAACUGCGAAGCUUGAAUCCUGGAGAGGGUGGCGGAAUUCCUGGUGUAGGAGUGAAAUCCGUAGAUAUCAGGAGGAACACCGGUGGCGAAGGCGGCCACCUGGACAGGUAUUGACGCUGAGGUGCGAAAGUGUGGGGAGCAAACAGGAUUAGAUACCCUAGUAGUC